Molecule: ribosomal RNA, 301 nt
Filed under: uncultured bacterium
Lineage: Bacteria
Description: partial 16S ribosomal RNA
Rfam family: Bacterial small subunit ribosomal RNA
Source: RNAcentral
CAGCCGCCACGGUAAAACGAAGGGGGCUAGCGUUGUUCGGAAUUACUGGGCGUAAAGCGCACGUAGGCGGAUAUUUAAGUCAGGGGUGAAAUCCCGCAGCUCAACUGCGGAACUGCCUUUGAUACUGGGUAUCUUGAGUAUGGAAGAGGUUAGUGGAAUUGCGAGUGUAGAGGUGAAAUUCGUAGAUAUUCGCAGGAACACCAGUGGCGAAGGCGGCUAACUGGUCCAUAACUGACGCUGAGGUGCGAAAGCGUGGGGAGCAAACAGGAUUAGAUACCCCGGUAGUCCCUGUCUCUUAUAC